UGGAAUAUGUCUCUUCUAUGAGUCCAUGCUCUUCAUUCUAAAAGGAAAAAAAAAAAGAAACUAAUGUGAUAAAGAUUUUUUGCUGUGACCGUGCGAAUGAAGCACCACCAUGAGAGCCUUUCUCCAAAAUAAAUCUACAAUCCUUGCUUUCUAAUUGAAAACUUGAAAAUGUAAAGAUGGAAAGAAAAUAUAUUGCAACUGGAUAAAGCUUCCAUUCAUCCACAAUCUAGUAGUAUAAACAUGGCUCAAAAGCUUCUUCUUUC
Molecule: long non-coding RNA, 263 nt
Filed under: Vigna radiata
Lineage: Eukaryota; Viridiplantae; Streptophyta; Magnoliopsida; Fabales; Fabaceae
Description: long non-coding RNA (VRAD_LNC014810)
Source: RNAcentral